This 391-nucleotide unclassified non-coding RNA is filed under the name soil metagenome. RNAcentral's name for it is "partial contains 5.8S ribosomal RNA, internal transcribed spacer 2, and large subunit ribosomal RNA". The stretch from base 1 to 122 matches the Rfam family "5.8S ribosomal RNA", at positions 35 to 154 of the family's 154-position model. The record is from RNAcentral.
GAUGAAGAACGUAGCGAAAUGCGAUACUUGGUGUGAAUUGCAGAAUCCCGUGAACCAUCGAGUCUUUGAACGCAAGUUGCGCCCGAAGCCACUAGGCCGAGGGCACGCCUGCCUGGGCGUCACACGCCGUUGCCCCCCCAUCUACUCCUUCGGGAUUGCGGGGGGGCGGAUGAUGGCCUCCCGUGCGCCUAGCCGCGCGGUUGGCAUAAAUACCAAGUCCUCGGCGACGCACGCCACGACAAUCGGUGGUUGCGAAACCUCGGUUGCCCGUCGUGUGCGUUCGUCGCGCAUCGAGGGCUCGAAAAAAUGCUCGGCUCCGGCUGGACUUUCAACGCGACCCCAGGUCAGGCGGGGUUACCCGCUGAAUUUAAGCAUAUCAAUAAGCGGAGGA